UAGGGAAUCUUCGGCAAUGGACGAAAGUCUGACCGAGCAACGCCGCGUGAGUGAAGAAGGGUUUCGGAUCGUAAAACUCUGUUGUUAGAGAAGAACAAGGACGUUAGUAACUGAACGUCCCCUGACGGUAUCUAACCAGAAAGCCACGGCUAACUACGUGCCAGCAGCGGCGGUAAUACGUAGGUGGCAAGCGUUGUCCGGAUUUAUUGGGCGUAAAGCGAGCGCAGGCGGUUUCUUAAGUCUGAUGUGAAAGCCCCCGGCUCAACCGGGGAUGGUCAUUGGAAACUGGGGGACUUGAGUGCAGAAGAGGAGAGUGGAAUUCCAUCUCUAACGUUGAAAUGCGUAGAUAUAUGGAGGAACCCCAGUGGCGAAGUCGGCUCUCUGGUCUGUAACUGACGCUGAGGCUCGAAAGCGUGGGGAGCAAACAGG
RNAcentral lists this ribosomal RNA (429 nucleotides) under Gemmatimonadota bacterium. Its description in RNAcentral is "Gemmatimonadetes bacterium partial 16S ribosomal RNA". It matches the Rfam family "Bacterial small subunit ribosomal RNA", at positions 355 to 776 of the family's 1533-position model. Lineage: Bacteria; Pseudomonadati; Gemmatimonadota. The record is from RNAcentral.